RNAcentral lists this ribosomal RNA (305 nucleotides) under uncultured bacterium. Its description in RNAcentral is "bacterial SSU rRNA". It matches the Rfam family "Bacterial small subunit ribosomal RNA", at positions 335 to 632 of the family's 1533-position model. The record is from RNAcentral.
UGACCUACGGGACGCAGCAGUAGGGAAUCUUCGGCAAUGGACGAAAGUCUGACCGAGCAACGCCGCGUGAGUGAAGAAGGUUUUCGGAUCGUAAAACUCUGUUGGUAGAGAAGAACGUUGGUGAGAGUAGAAAGCUCAUCAAGUGACGGUGACUACCCAGAAAGGGACGGCUAACUACGUGCCAGCAGCCGCGGUAAUACGUAGGUCCCGAGCGUUAUCCGGAUUUAUUGGGCGUAAAGCGAGCGCAGGUGGUUUAUUAAUGCUGGUGUAAAAGGCAGUGGCGCAACCAUUGUAUGCAUUGGAAA